GUGCUCUCUUUGGUGGCACAUGUACUAAAACUGGAACCAUACAGAGAAGAUUAGCAUGGCUCCUGCCCAAGGAUGACAGGCAAAUUCAUGAAGCGUUCUAUAUUUUU
Molecule: small nuclear RNA, 107 nt
Organism: Callorhinus ursinus (northern fur seal)
Lineage: Eukaryota; Metazoa; Chordata; Mammalia; Carnivora; Otariidae
Source: RefSeq, a predicted model, not a curated record